UCCAACUUAACGUUGGCAGUUGCUCUAGAGUGCCCAACUUAAUGCUGGCAACUAAAGCCAAGGGUUGCGCUCGUUGCGGGACUUAACCCAACAUCUCACGACACGAGCUGACGACAGCCAUGCAGCACCUGUCACUGUGUCCCUUUCGGGCCUUCUAUAUCUCUAUAGCGUUCACAGGAUGCCAAACCCAGGUAAGGUUUUUCGCGUUGCAUCGAAUUAAACCACAUUCUCCACCGCUUGUGCGGGCCCCCGUCAAUUUCUUUGAGUUUUAAUCUUGCGACCGUACUCCCCAGGCGGGAUACUUAUUGCGUUAGCUCCGACACUGAAGGGGUCAAUACCUUCAACAUCAAGUAUCCAUCGUUUACGGCGUGGACUAC
RNAcentral lists this unclassified non-coding RNA (377 nucleotides) under uncultured Pseudobdellovibrionaceae bacterium. RNAcentral describes it as "uncultured Bdellovibrionaceae bacterium contains 16S-23S intergenic spacer region". Lineage: Bacteria; Pseudomonadati; Bdellovibrionota; Bdellovibrionia; Bdellovibrionales; Pseudobdellovibrionaceae. The record is from RNAcentral.